UAAACGACUCUCGGCAACGGAUAUCUCGGCUCUCGCAUCGAUGAAGAACGAAGCGAAAUGCGAUACUUGGUGUGAAUUGCAGAAUCCCGUGAACCAUCGAGUCUUUGAACGCAAGUUGCGCCUGAAGCCGUCAGGCCGAGGGCACGUCUGCCUGGGCGUCACAC
RNAcentral lists this ribosomal RNA (164 nucleotides) under Polylepis pauta. RNAcentral describes it as "5.8S ribosomal RNA". It matches the Rfam family "5.8S ribosomal RNA". Rfam says of the family: 5.8S ribosomal RNA (5.8S rRNA) is a component of the large subunit of the eukaryotic ribosome. It is transcribed by RNA polymerase I as part of the 45S precursor that also contains 18S and 28S rRNA. The record is from RNAcentral. Lineage: Eukaryota; Viridiplantae; Streptophyta; Magnoliopsida; Rosales; Rosaceae.